Molecule: long non-coding RNA, 371 nt
Filed under: Ananas comosus (pineapple)
Lineage: Eukaryota; Viridiplantae; Streptophyta; Magnoliopsida; Poales; Bromeliaceae
Description: long non-coding RNA (ACOM_LNC019198)
Source: RNAcentral
AAACAUGGUCAAUGUUAGAACAAAUACCGCACAGAAAUAUAAUUUUUCAUAAGAGCUUCUAUGGAUAGUCCAUGUCUUAUAGUCGCGACCACAUACGAAUACUCUUAUAUAUGUGAUUUUUUUCAGGGAUGUGUGUAGAGUCACAUCUCGAAAAAUUACCGUCUCGGAUCCCAUUAAGAACUAUCAGCUCAACCUCAAUCACUAUAUAGAGCACUACUCACGAGUAUUAAUCGAUGUGAUCUCUAAAAUGUUAUUCCAUUUGACGGAUAUAUAUUACACUAUUACAGAAAAAUUUUAAUUGAUUUAUGCAUAUAGUUUAAAGUUAGGAGAUUGUUUCUGAAAAACUUAGAGCAUUUUAUUUGCUCCAGAUA